RNAcentral lists this ribosomal RNA (378 nucleotides) under uncultured eukaryote. RNAcentral describes it as "partial 18S ribosomal RNA". It matches the Rfam family "Eukaryotic small subunit ribosomal RNA", at positions 592 to 976 of the family's 1831-position model. The record is from RNAcentral.
CAAUAGCGUAUAUUUAAGUUGUUGCAGUUAAAAAGCUCGUAGUUGGAUUUCGGGUGGGACGCAGCGGUCUCGCAUUGCGUUUGUACUGCUGCAGCCCUCCUUCUUGCCGGGGGCGGCCUCUCGGACUUCACUGUCUGGGGGUCAGAAUCGGCGAUGUUACUUUGAGUAAAUUAGAGUGUUCAAAGCAAGCUUACGCUCUGAAUAUAAUAGCAUGGGAUAACACGACAGGACUCUGGCCUAUCGUGUUGGUCUAUAGGACCAGAGUAAUGAUUAAGAGGGACAGUCGGGGGCAUUCGUAUUCCGUUGUCAGAGGUGAAAUUCUUGGAUUUACGGAAGACGAACAUCUGCGAAAGCAUUUGUCAAGGAUGUUUNCAUUAA